Molecule: ribosomal RNA, 539 nt
Filed under: Cortinarius sp. YM371
Lineage: Eukaryota; Fungi; Basidiomycota; Agaricomycetes; Agaricales; Cortinariaceae
Description: eukaryotic LSU rRNA
Rfam family: 5.8S ribosomal RNA (bases 152-305)
Source: RNAcentral
UGGGUUGUUGCUGGCUCUCUAGGGAGCAUGUGCACGCCUUGUCAUCUUUAUAUCUCCACCUGUGCACUUUUUGUAGACCUGAAAAGGUCUAUGUUGCUUCAUUUUACCCCAAUGUAUGUCUAUAGAAUGUUGUGCCUAUGAUAAUAUAUACAACUUUCAGCAACGGAUCUCUUGGCUCUCGCAUCGAUGAAGAACGCAGCGAAAUGCGAUAAGUAAUGUGAAUUGCAGAAUUCAGUGAAUCAUCGAAUCUUUGAACGCACCUUGCGCUCCUUGGUAUUCCGAGGAGCAUGCCUGUUUGAGUGUCAUUAAUAUAAAUCAACCUUCAACUUGUUUGAGUGGUUUGGAUGUGGGGGUUUGCUGGCCUUUCAAAAGGUUUCAGCUCCUCUGAAAUGCAUUAGCAGAACAAACCUUGUUCAUUGGUGUGAUAACUAUCUACGCUUAUGAAUGUGAGGGGCAGUUCAGCUUUCUAAUCGUCUUUGGACAAUUCAUCAUUAAUGUGACCUCAAAUCAGGUAGGACUACCCGCUGAACUUAAGCAUA